GACGAACGCUGGCGGCGUGCCUAAUACAUGCAAGUCGAACGCAGUGGGGCCGGGUGAGUAACACGUGGGUAACCUCCCCUCAGAGGGGAUAACCCUUGGAAACAGGUGCUAAAACGAUACUGAUGGAUGGACCCGCGGUGCAUUAGCUAGUGGGUGAGGUAACGGCUCACCAAGGCCACGAUGCAUAGCCGACCUGAGAGGGUGAUCGGCCACACUGGGACUGAGACACGGCCCAGACUCCUACGGGAGGCAGCAGUAGGGAAGCUUCGGCAAUGGGCGAAAGUCUGACCGAGCAACGCCGCGUGAGUGAAGAAGGUUUUCGGAUCGUAAAACUCUGUUGUUAGGGAAGCGGUACCUAAUCAGAAAGCCACGGCUAACUACGUGCCAGCAGCCGCGGUAAUUC
Molecule: ribosomal RNA, 403 nt
Filed under: uncultured bacterium
Lineage: Bacteria
Description: partial 16S ribosomal RNA
Rfam family: Bacterial small subunit ribosomal RNA
Source: RNAcentral